GAUCAUGGCUCAGGAUGAACGCUAGCUACAGGCUUAACACAUGCAAGUCGAGGGGCAGCGAGAGGAAGCUGCUUCCUUGUCGGCGACCGGCGCACGGGUGAGUAACGCGUAUCCAACCUUCCCCAUAGUAGAGGAUAGCCCGGCGAAAGUCGGAUUAAUACUCUAUGUUGUACAACGAGGACAUCUGAAUUGUACCAAAGAUUCAUCGCUAUGGGAUGGGGAUGCGUCUGAUUAGGUAGUCGGCGGGGUAACGGCCCACCGAGCCUACGAUCAGUAGGGGUUCUGAGAGGAAGGCCCCCACAUUGGUACUGAGACACGGACCAAACUCCUACGGGAGGCAGCAGUGAGGAAUAUUGGUCGAUGGGCGCGAGCCUGAACCAGCCAAGUAGCGUGCAGGAAUGACUGCCCUAUGGGUUGUAAACUGCUUUUAUCAGGGAAUAAAGUGAGGCACGUGUGCCUUUUUGUAUGUACCUGAUGAAUAAGGACCGGCUAAUUCCGUGCCAGCAGCCGC
RNAcentral lists this ribosomal RNA (511 nucleotides) under uncultured bacterium. RNAcentral's name for it is "bacterial SSU rRNA". It matches the Rfam family "Bacterial small subunit ribosomal RNA", at positions 15 to 518 of the family's 1533-position model. The record is from RNAcentral.